CCUACGGUGUGCAGCAGUAGGGAAUAUUGCUCAAUGGGGGAAACCCUGAAGCAGCAACGCCGCGUGGAGGAUGCAGGUUUUCGGAUUGUAAACUCCUUUUGUUAGAGACGAUAAUUACGGUAUCUACCUACUAAUCACCGGCUAACUCCGUGCCAGCCGCCGCGGUAAUACGGAGGGUGCAAGCGUUACUCGGAAUCACUGGGCGUAAGGAGCGCGUAGGCGGGAUAGCAAGUCAGAUGUGAAAUCCUAUGGCUUAACCAUAGAACUGCAUUUGAAACUGUUAUUCUAGAGUAUGGGAGAGGUAGGUGGAAUUCUUGGUGUAGGGGUAAAAUCCGUAGAGAUCAAGAGGAAUACUCAUUGCGAAGGCGACCUGCUAGAACAUAACUGACGCUGAUGCGCGAAAGCGUGGGGAGCAAACAGGAUUAGAUACCCCAGUAGUC
Molecule: ribosomal RNA, 440 nt
Filed under: uncultured bacterium
Lineage: Bacteria
Description: partial 16S ribosomal RNA
Rfam family: Bacterial small subunit ribosomal RNA
Source: RNAcentral